GAUGAACGCUGGCGGCGUGCUUAACACAUGCAAGUCGAGCGAGUCAAGUUUUCAACACUGAGUAUUCGGUAAUUAUAAAUGUAAGUAAAGCCAGCGUGAAGCACAUGCUUCAAGUGCUUCACGCGUUAUAAAAAGCUUGCUAACACAUAAGACUGAGUAUUGAGUGUUGGAAACUUGACUAGCGGCGGACGGGUGAGUAACGCGUGGGCAACCUGCCCUGUACAGAGGGAUAACAACGGGAAACCGUUGCUAAUACCUCAUAAUACCUUUCGGGGGCAUCCCCCUUUAGGUCAAAGAAUUUCGGUACAGGAUGGGCCCGCGUCUGAUUAGCUAGUUGGUGAGGUAAUGGCUCACCAAGGCGACGAUCAGUAGCCGACCUGAGAGGGUGAACGGCCACACUGGAACUGAGACACGGUCCAGACUCCUACGGGAGGCAGCAGUGGGGAAUAUUGCACAAUGGGCGAAAGCCUGAUGCAGCGACGCCGCGUG
Molecule: ribosomal RNA, 489 nt
Filed under: uncultured bacterium
Lineage: Bacteria
Description: bacterial SSU rRNA
Rfam family: Bacterial small subunit ribosomal RNA
Source: RNAcentral